GUGGGGAAUAUUGGACAAUGGGCGAAAGCCUGAUCCAGCCAUGCCGCGUGUGUGAAGAAGGUCUUCGGAUUGUAAAGCACUUUAAGUUGGGAGGAAGGGCAGUAAGUUAAUACCUUGCUGUUUUGACGUUACCGACAGAAUAAGCACCGGCUAACUUCGUGCCAGCAGCCGCGGUAAUACGAAGGGUGCAAGCGUUAAUCGGAAUUACUGGGCGUAAAGCGCGCGUAGGUGGUUUUGUAAGUUGGAGGUGAAAUCCCCGGGCUCAACCUGGGAACUACCUCCAAAACUGCAUGACUAGAGUACGGUAGAGGGUAGUGGAAUUUCCUGUGUAGCGGUGAAAUGCGUAGAUAUAGGAAGGAACACCAGUGGCGAAGGCGACUACCUGGACUGAUACUGACACUGAGGUGCGAAAGCGUGGGGAGCAAACAGGAUUAGAUACCCUUGUAGUCC
RNAcentral lists this ribosomal RNA (450 nucleotides) under uncultured bacterium. RNAcentral describes it as "partial 16S ribosomal RNA". It matches the Rfam family "Bacterial small subunit ribosomal RNA", at positions 354 to 796 of the family's 1533-position model. The record is from RNAcentral.